UUCAGCUGACUUUUCAUCGUAAGAUUCCGAACUUCGUUCCGAACUUCGCCAAUUCGUUGCCAAGUUCAAAAGUUCAUAAUGAAAUUCACAAUCAGAGUGAUUGGCUAUUAAAUCAAACCAGCCAAUCAAAUGCCAAGUUUACAAACCUGUUUGUGAAUUUCAUUAUGAACUUUUGAACUUGGCAACGAAUUUGCGAAGUUCGGUUCGGAAUCUUACGAUAGAAAGUCAGCUGAC
Paramuricea clavata is the source of this 234-nucleotide non-coding RNA. The record is from the annotation of a GenBank genome assembly. Lineage: Eukaryota; Metazoa; Cnidaria; Anthozoa; Malacalcyonacea; Plexauridae.